This 253-nucleotide ribosomal RNA is filed under the name uncultured bacterium. RNAcentral describes it as "partial 16S ribosomal RNA". It matches the Rfam family "Bacterial small subunit ribosomal RNA", at positions 524 to 776 of the family's 1533-position model. The record is from RNAcentral.
UACGUAGGGCGCAAGCGUUAUCCGGAAUUAUUGGGCGUAAAGAGCUCGUAGGCGGUUUGUCGCGUCUGCCGUGAAAGUCCGGGGCUCAACUCCGGAUCUGCGGUGGGUACGGGCAGACUAGAGUGAUGUAGGGGAGACUGGAAUUCCUGGUGUAGCGGUGAAAUGCGCAGAUAUCGUCAAGAACACCUAUUGCGAAGGCAGCUAACUAAGCUUUAACUGACGCUGAUGCACGAAAGUGUGGGGAUCAAACAGG